RNAcentral lists this ribosomal RNA (492 nucleotides) under uncultured bacterium. RNAcentral describes it as "partial 16S ribosomal RNA". It matches the Rfam family "Bacterial small subunit ribosomal RNA", at positions 29 to 507 of the family's 1533-position model. The record is from RNAcentral.
AGCGAACGCUGGCGGUAGGCCUAACACAUGCAAGUCGAACGGCAGCACAGUAAGAGCUUGCUCUUACGGGUGGCGAGUGGCGGACGGGUGAGGAAUACAUCGGAAUCUACUUUUUCGUGGGGGAUAACGUAGGGAAACUUACGCUAAUACCGCAUACGACCUACGGGUGAAAGCAGGGGAUCUUCGGACCUUGCGCGAUUGAAUGAGCCGAUGUCUGAUUAGCUAGUUGGCGGGGUAAAGGCCCACCAAGGCGACGAUCCGUAGCUGGUCUGAGAGGAUGAUCAGCCGCACUGGAACUGAGACACGGUCCCGACUCCUACGGGAGGCAGCAGUGGGGAAUAUUGGACAAUGGGCGCAAGCCUGAUCCAGCCAUACCGCGUGGGUGAAGAAGGCCUUCGGGUUGUAAAGCCCUUUUGUUGGGAAAGAAAAGCAGCAGGUUAAUACCCCGCUGUUCUGACGGUACCCAAAGAAUAAGCACCGGCUAACUUCGUG